GAGGCUUUAGCUUAAUUAAAGUGUUUGAUUUGCGUUCAUAUGAUGUGUAUUAGUGUUACACAGGUCUUA
Molecule: transfer RNA, 69 nt
Filed under: Sceloporus malachiticus
Lineage: Eukaryota; Metazoa; Chordata; Lepidosauria; Squamata; Phrynosomatidae
Description: tRNA-Ala
Rfam family: tRNA
About the family: Transfer RNA (tRNA) molecules are approximately 80 nucleotides in length.
Source: RNAcentral